UAAUACGGAGGGUCCGAGCGUUAUCCGGAUUUAUUGGGUUUAAAGGGUCCGUAGGCGGGUUAUUAAGUCAGUGGUGAAAUCCUGCAGCUCAACUGUAGAGCUGCCAUUGAAACUGGUAACCUUGAAUGUAAUUGAAGUGGGCGGAAUGUGUCAUGUAGCGGUGAAAUGCUUAGAUAUGCCACAGAACACCGAUUGCGAAGGCAGCUCACUAAGUUACCAUUGACGCUGAGGGACGAAAGCGUGGGUAGCGAACAGGAUUAGAUACCCUGGUAGUCCACGCCGUAAACGAUGUAUACUCGUUACUGGCGAUACACAGUCAGUGACCAAGCGAAAGUAUUAAGUAUACCACCUGGGGAGUACGAUCGCAAGAUUG
RNAcentral lists this ribosomal RNA (373 nucleotides) under uncultured Bacteroidota bacterium. RNAcentral's name for it is "bacterial SSU rRNA". It matches the Rfam family "Bacterial small subunit ribosomal RNA", at positions 521 to 896 of the family's 1533-position model. Lineage: Bacteria; Pseudomonadati; Bacteroidota. The record is from RNAcentral.